UUUCUAUUGGAGAAAGGUUAACGUCUGACA
This 30-nucleotide non-coding RNA is filed under the name Rattus norvegicus (Norway rat). Lineage: Eukaryota; Metazoa; Chordata; Mammalia; Rodentia; Muridae. The record is from RNAcentral.